AGCGAACGCUGGCGGCAGGCUUAACACAUGCAAGUCGAGCGGGCAUCUUCGGAUGUCAGCGGCAGACGGGUGAGUAACACGUGGGAACGUACCCUUCGGUUCGGAACAACUCUGGGAAACUGGAGCUAAUACCGGAUACGCCCUUAUGGGGAAAGGUUUACUGCCGAAGGAUCGGCCCGCGUCUGAUUAGCUAGUUGGUGGGGUAACGGCCUACCAAGGCGACGAUCAGUAGCUGGUCUGAGAGGAUGAUCAGCCACACUGGGACUGAGACACGGCCCAGACUCCUACGGGAGGCAGCAGUGGGGAAUAUUGGACAAUGGGCGCAAGCCUGAUCCAGCCAUGCCGCGUGAGUGAUGAAGGCCUUAGGGUUGUAAAGCUCCUUUGUCCGGGACGAUAAUGACGGUACCGGAAGAAUAAGCCCCGGCUAACUUCGUG
Molecule: ribosomal RNA, 435 nt
Filed under: uncultured bacterium
Lineage: Bacteria
Description: partial 16S ribosomal RNA
Rfam family: Bacterial small subunit ribosomal RNA
Source: RNAcentral